AAGGAGGCAAGAUAGCUAAAUAAACUAAAUAUUUCAACAAUAAAAGAGCAGAAUAUGUUUGGCCCUGUUCAGAUUCACAGGAGAGGUGAAGGUCUCAAGGAGCUUUUCUCUUGCAGAUGUUCCUGUGUUGCUUACAAGAAAGAAGAGGAUAAUCCAGUGUCAGCUAAAAAAGGACCCCUGAACAAGUUUAUUUCCAGGAUGGCUGGGUGCUCAGAGACCUGCACUGAGCUGACAGAUCCUGAAGUAUCUCUGGUGGCUGAAUGCCUGCAGGCUCUGGAAGCAAACCCUGGAGUAAGGAAAUUCUUGCUGCAGUCAUCUGCCCAAACUGUGCCAGAAGGAGCCAGUGCUCAAGGACAGCUGCUGGAGUGCAGCUGGCAUCCCAGGAUGGGAGCUCCUGAUACUGGAGAUACAGUGGGCUGUGACAAAAUGGAACAGCUGUCUGUGGACUUCACUGUGUCAGACACCACCAUUUUACAGUGAUCCCUGUCCAAUGGAGAACCUUUGGGAGGAGUUUCUCUGCUACAGGCCAAUGUUUGUCACCUUUCAUUUGCAAAUAUCAAGGUAAGGAACAAAGCAAAUGCAUGAAUAUUUGUGUUCAAGCCUGUUUUCUCCUUUGAUAAUUUGAUUAUGAUUAUGUGUUUGCUGUACAGCUCUGGGAUUCCCUGCUGGACUCUGCCCCAAGCACUGGCCAGGGGCCCACUGGCUCCAAACCAGUUCUCUGCAUAGAAGGGUUUGCUCCUGGCUCCUUCACACGGAGAACUCAGUUUAGAUUGCCUGAAUCCACCAAUAAAACUUGGAUUCACCGGACA
RNAcentral lists this long non-coding RNA (809 nucleotides) under Junco hyemalis (dark-eyed junco). Its description in RNAcentral is "lncRNA (ENSJHYG00000004796.1)". The record is from RNAcentral. Lineage: Eukaryota; Metazoa; Chordata; Aves; Passeriformes; Passerellidae.